Molecule: long non-coding RNA, 1523 nt
Filed under: Equus caballus (horse)
Lineage: Eukaryota; Metazoa; Chordata; Mammalia; Perissodactyla; Equidae
Description: lncRNA (ENSECAG00000053711.1)
Source: RNAcentral
AGCCUGGGUUAUCCAGGUGGACCCAAAGUAAUCACCGGAGUCUUUAAAAGCAGAGAACUUUCUCCACCUGCCAUCAGAAAGAGAUGUGUUAAAAGAGAGUAGAAGAGAUGAGGCAGAAGGUGAACCAGGGAGAUUCAAAAUGUAGGAAGGACUCGGACUAUCACUGCAGCGUUUGAUGGUGGGAGAAGGAACUUACAAGCCAAGGAAUGCGGGUAACCUUGAGAAGCUGAGAACAACCCAAUGAGGACAUGGGGAACCUCAGUCCUACACUGCAUACAACUGAAUUCUGCCAACAUCCUGAGCGAGCCUGGGAGCCGAUUCUUCCCUCAGAACCUCCUGAACAGAACAUAGCCUUGCUGACGUCUUUAUUCCGGGCUUGUGAUGCUCUAAGCAAAGUAUCCAGUCAAGUCUGCUGGACGUCUGACCUACAAACAGCACCUGGAGUCAGUCCUAGCAGCAGCCCCGCUCUGACCAUACCCGCUGAAGGCGUGCCAAGACAAUUCAAUGAGGAAAGAAGAGUCUUUUCAACAAAUGGUGCUGGGACAUCUGGAUAUCCACAAAGUCGCAGAGGAUGGAAGUCUGAAAUCAAGAGGUUGGCAGGAUCAUGCUCUCUCCGAAGCCUCCAGUUGAUGUGAAGAUGAUUUCGGAUCACACAGAUAAUACCCACAAAGGCAUACACGUUAUGAGUUCUCAAAAUUUCUCUACAGGGUGAGACAUGCUCCGGGGAAGGCUUAUCAGAACAUCCAGCAGGAGAACAAAUAUGGGCUGACAACGCACUAAAAUUGCACGUUUUACGAGGGACUAAAAUAUAACUCUUGUGCACUGAUGGUGAUUGCCUGUGUCUAGUGUACUCUAUGAGACAAGGCAGAAGCUCAGUGGACAUUUGUUGAACAACUAAAGAAAUGUAUGACUGAAGAAGGAAUAAUUAAUAUAAUGAAAAAUACAUGACCUCCAAUCGUUAAACAUGGUUUAUAUCAUUCCAGCCAAUCUCGGUACCUAGAGACCUGGUUUCUAUUUUUCAACUUUGGAUUAUACUCUAUUCAGUAUCAUUUUGUUAUUGUUAAACUGAUUGGUCUAUACGAGCAUUUUCUAAGUGAUUAAAAAUUCUUUUAAGCAUGAUAUUAGUGAGUAGGCAAUAUCCACUAAUAUGAUAUUUCUAUAUCAUAUUCUGAUAUGAAUGUUCUGCCAUUAAAAAAAUCUUUUUAUUCUUCAAUUUAUAUGUUGUUUUCUAAUUUUUUCACAUGUGUAAUUAAUAAUUACAAAGAAUACAUAUAUAUUUAUUAUUUGAUUAUUUCCUUAGUGCACCUUGGUGGAAGGACAUUUACUGACUUAACAUGCACACAUAUUUUAAGGCAGAUGAUAUGUAUGCAAAAUGGCCCUCUAGAAAGGGUUUUCCAAUUAAUUUUUGACAAGCAGUGUUAAGGCGCUUUUUAUACAAAACUUUAGCCAAUACUGAAGAGAAAUUGUUUUUUCCUGUUUGAUAGUUGAAAAUGAAAUCUCAUUUUUAUUUCUCUAAUAACUCA